Long non-coding RNA from Monodelphis domestica (gray short-tailed opossum), 2114 nucleotides. RefSeq lists it as uncharacterized. NCBI's taxonomy places the organism in Eukaryota, Metazoa, Chordata, Mammalia, Didelphimorphia, Didelphidae. The record is from RefSeq and is a predicted model, not a curated record.
GUUACUCAUUUCUAUAUUCUACCCCCUUCCUUCUAUGCCUGUCUCCAAGAUCUUGAAAAGGGCCCUGCCUCUAGUCGGAGCUGGAUACGUUUUUGUUGAAUAAAGGAUUGAGAUCAGAAAAAAAGAAACACAACAGGAUGAUUUCCAUCAAGAGCUGCUGCUUUUGAGCAGCUGUCAGCUUCUAAAGCUGUGGCUCUAGUUCUCAAAUUCCAUGCUGGUGAUUUGGACUUCCCAAAGCCCCCUGGUUGCCAUGCAGAUGAUCAGAGGAUCUUUGAUCUGAAACUGGAAAGAACCCUGAAAAUGAAGGUCCGGAGAGUAAGUGGAUUGCCCAGGCAGAAUUUAGCAGAACUGGGCUUUGAACCCAAGUCACAGGACUAAGUCAGGCUCCAAAUGAAAUCAGGACAAGAACAAAUGAGUUCUUCACCUAACAGAAAAUGCCAAACCAGUUAUAAAGGAAAACUCAAAAGCCUUGCCUAAAAAAUUAUGAAACUGAUUGACAGGGACUCCUACAUCAGUGCCUUGGCUGUCAGAAAAAAUUGGCUCCUACCUUCCCUGCAGUCUUCUCAUUCCCAUGUAAAUUCUUUAGAUUAAACCAUGGGUGUCCCUCACCAGCUGGAGUUCAGUCUACAAUGAACCAGCAAAAAAUUCCAUUGUCUCAUUCUCUGAAAGCUGUGCUUGGACUCUGAAGAUAGAGGCAAGAAAAUUCCCUUCUGUGUCAAAGCUGUCAAAUUAGGCAUCAGCGGGAAGAUGUCAGGGGCCCCUAAAAUCUCAUUCUCCUUUAAUUGCCAACUAUGGGGGAGCAAACAUUCAGCAGCCCAGCUUUGAGCUGGCCACCUGUUAGAGGUUUCAAUAACUGACCCGCCUGGGAGAGAUGCCAAAUCUGGCUUCCUGAAGCCUUCAUCUACACUUUUGACAAGGUGAAGGGGAGGUAACCAUGAUCCUGAUACUGUGACAUGUGAAAACCUGGGUAUUUUCCUGGUCUCACUAGGGGAAAAGGCUUUUUUGAGUGACUACUCCCUUUACUGUUUGUCUCCACACUAUAAAUAAGAAUGAGGAGGCGAACUCAUCCCAGGCAAUUUAUUUACUGCAAGGUUAGCUGAGGGGAAAGAGUUACAGGAAGAUGUGUCUCUGACUUUUAAGGACAUUCUAAACAUUGUUUCCUUUAUAUUCAGAUUUUAAAUAAUUGAUGGUUUUCACUUACAAAUAUUUGGUGCCAGAAAGUGCUUGAUUCAGUUAAAUUCAGUUAGAAAAAUCUUUAUUAAACACCUAAUGCUUUUCAUGAAGGGUCCUGAGCUCAGUCAACACAAGGGCAGAUGCAAUUACAGAAUAACAAAAUCUCCCAAGCCAAGAAAGGACUUCAGAGGGAAGAUCUUCUUCCACAUUCAAGGCAUGUGGUCACUGAAGAUCCCUCAAGAACAAUUUACUACCUCCCUAGGCAAACCAUUCCAUUGUAGAACAGCUUCAGUUCUUAGGGACUGAAUCUCUAAGUCUAGCCUGUCUCUCUUCUGGAAUUUUCCUCUCUAAUCUGAUCAUGUGGAGAUAAGCAAAAUAAAUAUAGCCUUUAUUCCUCAUAAUAACUUUUUAUUUAAAAAAUAAAACAACUGUAUCAACUUCCCCUCCCCUUAACUAUCUCCUGAAUCUUCUCUCCUCAAGACCAAACAUCCCUAGUUCCUUCAAAUACUGUUAUAUAAUGAAGUGUUACAAAUUAUAUAAACCAUCAUUGUUGUCUUGAGUCAGUACAAUUUUGACCUUAUCAAUAUUUUUCUUAAAAAUUUUGCCCCCCCAAAUGAUUAAAAUAUUAGUCUUGCCUUCAUGUAUGUUACUGUCAUCCAGAAGAUUCAAUGUGGAAGAAACCUCAGAAACCUUUUAAUUUCAUGCCCUGAUUUUACAGAUGACGAAACCAAAUCCUAAAGAGGUAAAAGAACUUCCUCAUGGCCACAUAGAGUUAAGGAUUAAUAGGAUCCAUGUCUUUGGGCAUCUUAUUCACUUUAGCACAUGACUUUCUUAGUUGAAUAGAUAAAACAUGAACACAUAUGGCUACUGUACCACAAAAUGUUGGUAAAAGCAUCAAGGGAGAGGGGAAGUUAAUGUUCUUCUGGUGGCAUUGAGGAAGC